GGAUUGUAGCUCAGUGGUAGAGCACUUGCUUAGCAUGUGUGAGGCACUGGGUUCAAUCCCCAGCAUCA
Molecule: transfer RNA, 68 nt
Filed under: Marmota monax (woodchuck)
Lineage: Eukaryota; Metazoa; Chordata; Mammalia; Rodentia; Sciuridae
Description: tRNA.Ala
Rfam family: tRNA (bases 5-65)
About the family: Transfer RNA (tRNA) molecules are approximately 80 nucleotides in length.
Source: RNAcentral